This 269-nucleotide long non-coding RNA is filed under the name Vitis vinifera (wine grape). RNAcentral describes it as "long non-coding RNA (VVIN_LNC007982)". Lineage: Eukaryota; Viridiplantae; Streptophyta; Magnoliopsida; Vitales; Vitaceae. The record is from RNAcentral.
AAGAAGGGAGUUGCCGACAGGCAAUGGCUAACCGACGGCGACUGGUCAGUGGUCCUGCCGGUGGUGGGAGGGAUUGAUGGUUUUUAAAAAAAAAUAAAAAAUAAAGAAAAUAAGAUGAAAAAAUGGAAAAGGAAAAAAAGAAAUGGAAGGAAGGAAAUGAGGGGUGCGUGUGGCAGUGAAAAAAAUUGGGGUCGGCCACUGUCUUGUGUGGGAGUUGGGGGGAGGAAAAAAAAGGGAAAAAAAAAAUAAAAAAUAAAAACUCUAGAGAG